This 253-nucleotide ribosomal RNA is filed under the name uncultured bacterium. RNAcentral's name for it is "partial 16S ribosomal RNA". It matches the Rfam family "Bacterial small subunit ribosomal RNA", at positions 524 to 776 of the family's 1533-position model. The record is from RNAcentral.
GACGAAGGAUCCAAGCGUUAUCCGGAUUCAUUGGGUUUAAAGGGAGCGUAGGCGGGUUUAUAAGUCAGUGGUGAAAGCCGAUCGCUUAACGAUCGAACUGCCAUUGAUACUGUAGACCUAGAGUACAGAUGAUGUUGGCGGAAUAUGACAUGUAGCGGUGAAAUGCAUAGAUAUGUCAUAGAACACCGAUUGCGAAGGCAGCUGACAAAACUGUAACUGACUCUGAGGCUCGAAAGUGCGGGGAUCAAACAGG